UACGGAAGGUAGCAGUGGGGAAUAUUGGACAAUGGGCGAAAGCCUGAUCCAGCCAUGCCGCAUGAGUGAAGAAGGCCUUCGGGUUGUAAAGCUCUUUUAGUGAGAAAGAUAAUGACGGUACUCACAGAAGAAGUCCUGGCUAACUCCGUGCCAGCAGCCGCGGUAAUACGGAGAGGGCUAGCGUUAUUCGGAAUUAUUGGGCGUAAAGAGCGCGUAGGCUGAUUAGUAAGUUAAAAGUGAAAUCCCAAAGCUUAACUUUGGAAUUGCUUUUUAAAACUGCUAGUCUAGAGAUUUGAAAGAGGAUAGAGGAAUUCCUAGUGUAGAGGUGAAAUUCGUAAAUAUUAGGAGGAACACCAGUGGCGAAGGCGUCUAUCUGGUUCAAAUCUGACGCUGAGGCGCGAAGGGCGUGGGGAGCAAACAGGGAUUAGAUACCCGU
RNAcentral lists this ribosomal RNA (436 nucleotides) under uncultured bacterium. RNAcentral's name for it is "bacterial SSU rRNA". It matches the Rfam family "Bacterial small subunit ribosomal RNA", at positions 340 to 789 of the family's 1533-position model. The record is from RNAcentral.